CGUCAUCUACAUCAUUUAUAAGAACUUCGUCAACAUGCUCAUCAUUAUUUACGGUGGAUGACAUAUCUGUAAGAAAAAGAAUAAAAUAAAUUACUUGAAUAACAAUCUAUAUACUUAUUAUUAAAAAUAUCAACAAUCACCUAAGUACAACGACAUAAAAUUCUAACAUUUCAAAAUAAAUAUUAGUAACUUGAAUAAAAAUCAAAUGUAGAUUCCAAUAACCAUAAAGCAUAACUAGAACAAUAUGUUAAAGCACAUAUAAAGUUUUAAUAACUAAAAAAAUAAAAUGCAGAUAAUAAUAGGUAAUAUAAUUAAAUUUAUUCUUUUUGAAGCUCAAACAUCUUUUCCAACAAUUGCAAUUGUAACUUUGGAUCUUCUUGUGCUAAAAAUAUUUCUCUCAUUGGUUGCUUGACUAGUAGCACACUUGCUUUUCACCAUAAAUCGCUACCAACAAUUAUAACGGGUAAAUUACGAACAACAUCCAUGGCAUACUUAAUACUAAGUGAAGAGUCUUUUGACCCCAUAUUCAUUGAAGAGCGUGAUUGUAUUGCUUCAGCAAUUUUCUCUAUUGAUC
Molecule: long non-coding RNA, 574 nt
Filed under: Nicotiana benthamiana
Lineage: Eukaryota; Viridiplantae; Streptophyta; Magnoliopsida; Solanales; Solanaceae
Description: long non-coding RNA (NBEN_LNC023734)
Source: RNAcentral